UGCUGGGGACCAACAAUGAUGAUGCACCGGUGUUUUACGAUCUAGCCACAGAGGGCGACGGUGAGAAGAAGGGCAAAGAAAUAAGUGGAAAGGUUAUUGUUUAAUUUUGCUUCGUAAACUUUUUAAUGUGUCAUUUGGUUAGACCAUGUUGCGCCUGAUUCAUUAUAAAGUUGAACUGGAGGAUGCCGGUGUAGUGUUAGCUUCUUUGUCUAGAUUGUAAAACACCGAUGCAUCAUCAUUACUGGUCCCCAGCA
Molecule: non-coding RNA, 254 nt
Organism: Xyrichtys novacula (pearly razorfish)
Lineage: Eukaryota; Metazoa; Chordata; Actinopteri; Labriformes; Labridae
Source: the annotation of a GenBank genome assembly